GCUUACACAUGCAAGUCGGGGGGUAUAGGUUUUCGGACCUAGAGACCGGCGUACGGGUGCGUAACACGUGUGCAACCUACCUUUAUCAGGGGAAUAGCCUUUCGAAAGGAAGAUUAAUACUCCAUAAUAUAUUAGAUGGCAUCAUUUAAUAUUGAAAACUCCGGUGGAUAAAGAUGGGCACGCGCAAGAUUAGAUAGUUGGUGAGGUAACGGCUCACCAAGUCAAUGAUCUUUAGGGGUCCUGAGAGGGAGAUCCCCCACACUGGUACUGAGACACGGACCAGACUCCUACGGGAGGCAGCAGUGAGGAAUAUUGGACAAUGGGUGAAGGCCUGAUCCAGCCAUCCCGCGUGAAGGAUGACGGUCCUAUGGAUUGUAAACUUCUUUUGUAUAGGAAUAAACCUAGAUACGUGUAUCUAGCUGAAGGUACUAUAC
This 434-nucleotide ribosomal RNA is filed under the name uncultured Flavobacteriales bacterium. RNAcentral describes it as "bacterial SSU rRNA". It matches the Rfam family "Bacterial small subunit ribosomal RNA", at positions 46 to 483 of the family's 1533-position model. The record is from RNAcentral. Lineage: Bacteria; Pseudomonadati; Bacteroidota; Flavobacteriia; Flavobacteriales.